CCAGACUCCUACGGGAGGCAGCAGUGGGGGAUAUUGCACAAUGGGGGAAACCCUGAUGCAGCGACGCCGCGUGGGCGAAGAAGUAUUUCGGUAUGUAAAGCCCUAUCAGCAGGGAAGAAGAAAUGACGGUACCUGAGUAAGAAGCACCGGCUAAAUACGUGCCAGCAGCCGCGGUAAUACGUAUGGUGCAAGCGUUAUCCGGAUUUACUGGGUGUAAAGGGAGCGCAGGCGGCACGGCAAGCCUGAUGUGAAGGCCCGCGGCCCAACCGCGGGACUGCAUUGGGAACUACCGGGCUGGAGUGCCGGAGAGGUAGGCGGAAUUCCUAGUGUAGCGGUGAAAUGCGUAGAUAUCAGGAGGAACACCGGUGGCGAAGGCGGCCUGCUGGACUGCAACUGACGUUGAGGCCCGAAAGCGUGGGGAGCAAACAGGAUUAGAUACCCUGGUA
This 446-nucleotide ribosomal RNA is filed under the name uncultured bacterium. RNAcentral describes it as "bacterial SSU rRNA". It matches the Rfam family "Bacterial small subunit ribosomal RNA", at positions 331 to 792 of the family's 1533-position model. The record is from RNAcentral.